Molecule: ribosomal RNA, 266 nt
Filed under: uncultured bacterium
Lineage: Bacteria
Description: partial 16S ribosomal RNA
Rfam family: Bacterial small subunit ribosomal RNA
Source: RNAcentral
UAGGGAAUAUUAGAAAUGGACGAAAGUCUGAUCUAGCAACACCGCGUGUGCGAAGAAGGCCUUCGGGUCGUAAAGCACUUUUUGGAAGGAAUAGGAAGGAAUGUACUUCCAGAAUAAGUCUCGGCUAACUACGUGCCAGCAGCCGCGGUAACACGUAGGAGGCAAACGUUAUCCGGAUUUACUGGGCGUAAAGCGCGUGUAGGUGGUACUGUAAGUAGGGCGUGAAAGCUUCUGGCUCAACUGGGAAAAGCCGUUCUAAACUACAG